UUAAAAUAAAGGUGUCUCAAUUUUUUAAGCAGCAAGAAAAUACUUGGAGAAUUAAAAGACAAUAUAUAUUAGCAUUAGAAGAAAACCUACAGAUGAUUCUAGUCUACCUUCCUUAUUUUAUCGAUGAAGAUGGUGAAAUUAGUAAUGACAGAUCCAAAGUGCAAGGUUCUUAGAAGUUUUUUAGUUUUUGGAUUCUCUCUCAACCAUAUACUUCUCUUAGAUUAAACCUUUUUUUUUCUCUAUGUAAAAGCACUGUAUCAUUUUCAAAUCAUGGUCAAUAGAUUUUUGGAUGAUUUCAUGUUGAAAAUUAUUGCUCUGUGUGACAAAGGGAAGCCUGCUUCCUCUAUCCCAAGAACAGUCUACUUGGUUUUUAGAAGGCAUUGUGAAUGUACAGCAUCCUUACUGCACGGCUGCAUGCACAAGGCCAAGCUGUCUCUGAAAGAAUUCCACACCUGACAGGAUGCUGGCCACACCUUUCUUGGCUCAGAGACAAAGCAAGGAAAUUGUGGAAGAUACUCACUGGCAUCUUGUCAUGCUUGAAUGAGCCAUUCAAAAUAAAGCUGCCGUCUAAUCGAAGUACCUGAAGUGCAAAAAUGUGAGAAGAAUUUAAUGAAGCAUAAAUUGUCAUUUGGUUGAAGAUACAGACCCCUUUACUGUAGCACAAUUAAAUACAACAUAAUGGAGGCUUCUGUUCAUGAAUCCCAAUCGCCUUCUGUUUUGCAGACAGGAAAACUACAAGAUCAAUUAAUGUCUUUAUUGUGGACUGUGGUGCAUGGAGAGUAAAUGUGUUCUCACCCUCUCUCUUUUCCCCAUCCUUCCCCCAACGAGGCACACAUUUUGUAUGUGUUUACAAUUAAGAAUUUGUCAUGUAUAAGACACUGUGUUCAAUGCUAGUGGGAAAUCUAAGAUUAAUCAAAUGGCCCCACUAUCUACAGAAAACAAUAGCCUUUAUCAAAUACCAACAGGCUGUUUUAUUUUUUUAAACAAAAAAGUUAUUAUGCAGCUCUCUAAGCUAAGACUGUGAAAGUCCCAGGCGUUGAAAUUUGGAGCAAAUAUAGUGGUUCAAUGAAAAAAAAAAUCAAGCUAUUUUAGGGAUAAUGAACUUUCCUGAUUGUGAACUAUGUUGAAUUUCUCAGUCGUACGAGUGAGUCCAUGGGGUAGCUAUGGGCAUGAAAGUGAGUGGUUUAAUAAUUGAGGGCAGAGGAAGCAGAGGGCUGUGGGAAGAUUAACAAGAGUCAAGUAUACGCACUCUCCACUUAUAAUUCUGCAGGAACCAGGAAGGAAAUGGGAAUGACAACUGGCUGAGAGAACAUCAAAGUCCAGGAAUGGAAAUGGCAGCUGGCUGAGAGGUCAGUCAGGUUCAGAAAAUGAGAUUAGCAACUAAGAGAUCUAAAAAUCUACGAAUAGCAUACUAAACAAUUUGCUCAUGCAUUCGUCAUUUUAGAAAAUAUUUCUUGAGCACCUAUGUAUGUAAAGUGCUUUGCAGGCCAGUCGCUAGGUAUAUAGGUAUAUAGUAUCUUCCUCAUGCCCCCUUAAAUCAAAUUUGUAAUUAAGUUCUGUCAAUUUUACUUUUGAAAUAUUUCAAAUGAUUAUUUAUUUCUCUCAUUCUUCACUUACAACAUUUUGGUACGAGACACUAUUACCUGCCAACAAGCCUACUUGGAAAAAUCUAGUUGGUCUUCCCGCAUCCACUCUCACCCCUUCCAAACUUCCCCCAUAUUGCAAAUGGGUAGAUUUUUAAAAUGUUAUUUUGAUCAAGUCACCAUUCAACCCCACCCCAAAUUCAUUCUAUUAAAUCCCAUUGCUCUGAGAAUGACGAUCAGAAUCACUUAGGUCGCAUAAAGCUAUACGGUCAGAAUCUUUCAGUUCUCCACCCCAUCUCAAACCACUAGCUGACUCCCUCUCCCUCUGCCAUCCAACUGCAUUAGCCUUUUAAAGUUCCUAAAGCAACUCUUGACCCAUUCAGCCUUCGUAUAUGCUGUUCAUGUCAUCUGGACCAAACCUCUUCCACUAACUUAGUUAAACCCUGAUAUUGUUUGCCUGUAUGCCCACCCAAAUCUCAUCUUGAAUUGUGGCUCCCGUAAUUCCCAUGUGGUGUGGGAGGUAAUUGAAUCAUGAGGGCAAUUUCUCCCAUACUGUUCUUGUGGUAGUGAAUAAGUCUUACGAGAUCUGAUGGUUUUAUAAGGGGAAACCCCCUUCACUUGGGUCGCAUUGUCUCUUGUCUGCCACCAUGUAAGAUGUGCCUUUUGCUUUCUGCCAUACUUGUGAGGCCUCCCCAGCCACGUGGAACUGUUAGUUCAUUAAACAUCUUUUUCUUUAUAAAUCACCCAAUCUCAGAUACGUCUUUAUCAGCAGCAUGAGAACAGACUAAUACAAACCCCAUUCAUUUUUCAGAUCUCAGAUUCAGGGAACCCUUUCCUGACUACCUCAGAGUAGGUCAGGUUGUUCUGUUGUAUGCCUUUGUAAGCUGAUAUGGCUUGGAUUUGUGUCGCUGCCCAAAUCUCAUGUCAAAUUGCAAUCCCCAAUGUUGGAGGAAGGGCCUGCCGGGAGGUGAUUUGAUCAUGGGGGCAGAUUUCCCCCUAGCCAUUCUUGUGAUAAUGAGUGAGUGUUCAUGAAAUCUAGUUGCUUAAAAGUGCAUAGCACUUUCCCCUUCACUUUCUUCCUCCUGUUCUAGCAAUGUAGGAUUCACCUGCCUCUCCUUUGCCUUCCGCCGUGAUUGUAAGUUUCCUGAGGCCUCCACAGCCAUGCUUCCUGAACAGCCUGCAAAACUAUAAGCCAAUUAAACUUCUUUUCUUUAAAAAUUACCUAGUCUCAGGUAGGUUUUUUUUAUAGCAAUGCAAGAAUAGACUAAUACAUAGGCAGAACACUUAUCUCUACUUGUAAUUUUUAAUUAUUUAUUGUGAGUAUUAGAAUAAUAUCUAUUUUCCCCAGAAGAGCGUUAACACCACAAGGGCAAAGACUGUGUUUGAUUUUGCUCACUUGCCUGUCCCAGCAGCACAGCACCUAGCACAGCACCUAACAUGUAGUAGGUAGUCUAUAAAUAUUUGUUGAGUAAUUGAGUAACAUAGCUGUAAAUGUGUGCUGUACAGCUCAGUGGAAUAAACAGUGGAAUAGACAUGAGCUAAGACAAUCCAUUAGGGCUAAAUUUCUGCCUCAAGAAAAGCAAUAUGCCUUUAGAACUUUUGGGUCCCCAAACCUGAAAUACUUAUUGGGGCAUCCCAUCAUAAACCAAAAACCAUUGCUUUUAAUCAUGAGUACUGAGUGGUUUUAAUCAUUCUAGGAAAUAUUUCCUGAAAUGUGCUGAGCAUAUUAUUGAUUUGAAUUUCUCAAGGGGAAAAAUAUUUUUUUCUUGGUAUUGACAUAAAUUUAGAAACCCAAUUUUUAAAUGAUUAACAAUGAUGAGUGAAGCAAGGAUGAUAUUUCUAUACCUACAAUUUUUCUAAAUAAGUCAAUGGCUCUCUAUUCCCUCAGUCUCAGUCGUGACCAUCUCUGCAUAAGCAAAACAGCCUGAUGACUUUAACUUCCACAGAUUCUCUCAACACAACAUCCAUCAAGCAUAUGACUUAAUUCAAUUAGUAUCUACUUUCAGCCAACCUGUAUUUUUUCUUUGAUUUGUGCAGAUCUUCAGUCAAAAUGUAACUAAGGUUAUUUUGCUAUAAUAAAGCUUAGUUAUCAAAAGAUUAGGCUAGGAUCAAGACUUGCUGAGAAGAGAGGAAAGUUAUUGCAUGCUGUUUAAAAAUUUUCAGGCCAUUGAUUUUAUUUGAAGAUACCAUUUAUCCUAAUAACAUGUAGAAAUGAAUAACUUUAAUGCACCUCAAGAAGCAUACACAGUGGUGUUAAAAUCAGUCUUGGUGAAUCAGAUUAUUUUUUGAGUUUACAAACUGUGUUUGCUAUUUUGAAUAAUGUUACAGUAAACUUUUAUAAGUGAUAUGCCUGGAGGGUGGAGUUAGGAGGGACUUUCUGGCUGGUUGUGGUGGCUCAUGCCUGUAAUCUCAGCACUCUGGAAGGCUGAGGCAGGCAGAUCGCUUGAGGUCAGAAGUUCAAGACCAGCCUGGGCAAAACCCCAUCUCUACAAAAAAAAAAAAAAAAAGAAGGACUCUCAAUAUCUAUGUAUCUGAGAUUUUUGUAAUUUUGUUUAAUUUGAAUUUUAAUAAUAAACAUGCAAUACUUUUGAAUUUAGCAAAAAGUAAUAAAAAGUUUUUAAAAGAA
This 4209-nucleotide long non-coding RNA is filed under the name Homo sapiens (human). Its description in RNAcentral is "HSALNT0090539". The record is from RNAcentral. Lineage: Eukaryota; Metazoa; Chordata; Mammalia; Primates; Hominidae.